Molecule: long non-coding RNA, 269 nt
Filed under: Homo sapiens (human)
Lineage: Eukaryota; Metazoa; Chordata; Mammalia; Primates; Hominidae
Description: HSALNT0067938
Source: RNAcentral
CGCACAUGCUAGCAGCUGUGGCCCUGCAGCUGAGCACAGGCCAACCUGGGAGGACCUGGAGAAGUUCAAAGCCCUCCGCAUCAUCGUCCGGAUUGGCAGUGGUUUUGACAACAUCGACAUCAAGUCGGCCGGGGAUUUAGGCAUUGCCGUCUGCAACGUGCCCGCGGCGUCUGUGGAGGAGACGGCCGACUCGACGCUGUGCCACAUCCUGAACCUGUACCGGCGGGCCACCUGGCUGCACCAGGCGCUGCGGGAGGGCACACGAGUCC